This 253-nucleotide ribosomal RNA is filed under the name uncultured bacterium. RNAcentral's name for it is "partial 16S ribosomal RNA". It matches the Rfam family "Bacterial small subunit ribosomal RNA", at positions 524 to 776 of the family's 1533-position model. The record is from RNAcentral.
UACGGGGGGGGCAAGCGUUGUUCGGAAUUACUGGGCGUAAAGGGCUCGUAGGUGGCCAACUAAGUCAGACGUGAAAUCCCUCGGCUUAACCGGGGAACUGCGUCUGAUACUGGAUGGCUGGAGUAUGGGAGAGGGAUGCGGAAUUCCAGGUGUAGCGGUGAAAUGCGUAAAUAUCUGGAGGAACACCGGUGGCGAAGGCGGCAUCCUGGACCAUUACUGACGCUGAGGAGCGAAAGCCAGGGGAGCAAACGGG